AUGGACACACACUGCCAUGCUCCUGGGGUGCUGGGGUUCAGAGGAAGGGACUGGGCAGAGUGUGUCUGGGGGGGAAUCUGGCCAUGUCACUGCUGCUAGCAAGCCUGCCAGGACUGCUCAUUUCUUGCAAGAUGAAGCCCCAGGCAGCUAGUGUCUCUCUCAGAGCAGUUCUUUAGCACGGGGCCUGGUGUGGGGCAGAUGCUCGGGUUGCUGACUCAAUAAACAGUCAUCCUGGGUCCCUGGUUAAAGGUGGGAUCAAGAAUGGUGGGAAUGGAUGUUGCCACAGCCUCUAUGGAAGAAACCCACAGCAGAUGCUUGGACUUGCUC
Molecule: long non-coding RNA, 327 nt
Organism: Microcebus murinus (gray mouse lemur)
Lineage: Eukaryota; Metazoa; Chordata; Mammalia; Primates; Cheirogaleidae
Source: RefSeq, a predicted model, not a curated record